CUGACUAACUGCUGCUUCCGUUUUAUGCCUUCAAGAUAAGCCCUUGGCAGGGAUUUUUUAUAAGCACACACAAAAGAAAACAACACAAGGUCAAGCUGUGUUGCUAAAUAUACUCUGAGCCUUGGGUAAGCUGCCUCGUCCUUCUGGGCCUUUGCUGUUCUCUGUGCAGAUGGAGUUAGAAAUGUCUCCACUGGCUGGUCUGAGAGGUACAGACGCUGCUGUUCAUAUGUGAACUCUCUUGUUCUCUCUGGUCACCGUUCUCUUUCCCCCUCCACAGUAAGCUACAACCUGAGAGUCUGUACACGUGUCUAGAUGCUCCUAUGUACGGGUGGAGAGAAUGUACCUGUGACAAGAAGCCUGCGUGUAGGUGUGGCUUUUGAGCCCAGCACUGAAAUUUAAAAACAAAAGACAAAAUAACAAAAAAAAAUAUUUUUACAUUAUUUGGCAUGGGCCAUUUUGAAUAUUUGAACAACUGUUGUAUUUCUAAUGUUUACUAUUUUGACCCCAAAAUACAUAAAAUAGACUUGUAAUUAAAAGAGAAAGUAUAAAUGAAUGAUCAUAUGCCUGAAAAAAAUAUGUGAAUGUUUUUAAAUGCAUUAUUUUAUAUAUCAAUCAAAAUAAUUGA
This 625-nucleotide long non-coding RNA is filed under the name Rattus norvegicus (Norway rat). RNAcentral's name for it is "long non-coding RNA NONRATT029702". The record is from RNAcentral. Lineage: Eukaryota; Metazoa; Chordata; Mammalia; Rodentia; Muridae.